This is a long non-coding RNA of Neopsephotus bourkii (Bourke's parrot), 447 nucleotides long. RefSeq lists it as uncharacterized. The record is from RefSeq and is a predicted model, not a curated record. The transcript has 3 exons. NCBI's taxonomy places the organism in Eukaryota, Metazoa, Chordata, Aves, Psittaciformes, Psittacidae.
AGGCUCCAUUUUCAACGCCAGCAAAAUACCAUGACCUGUUGUUCUGAUACACUGAGGCCACCACAGAGAACAAUAAGCACCAAAUGGAUUUCUAGCAUUAAUUUUAGCUGGUCAAUCCCCUGGCACAAGGAUCCAGAAGAUAGAUGUCUAUAAAGAGGAAACAAAGGAAUGGAUGGAUUUGUCUCUAGCAGCAGCUCAGAAGCUGGGAGGACCAUCAUCAAGGAAUCUCAAAAGUACAUCCAUUAUGGAUUCCUAAAAUGAGCAAUAUACCACUAGGUCACUAGAUGGUUUUCCUUUUCUCAAUCCCACUGAAAACAGAAAAUAGUAUGCCUAUCAGCUACAGGACUGACAGCAGGCUGUCCUUGAUAAGGGAGCUCUGCUUGCAUUUCAAAAGCCUGUGUCCAGCAUGAUCUGUGUAUGGCUGCAAUUCAAACUCAUUUGCUGUCA